CCUACGGGUGGCAGCAGUGAGGAAUAUUGGUCAAUGGGUGCGAGCCUGAACCAGCCAAGUAGCGUGAAGGAUGAAGGCCCUAUGGGUCGUAAACUUCUUUUAUAAGGGAAUAAAGUGUGGCACGUGUGCCAUUUUGUAUGUACUUUAUGAAUAAGGAUCGGCUAACUCCGUGCCAGCAGCCGCGGUAAUACGGAGGAUCCGAGCGUUAUCCGGAUUUAUUGGGUGUAAAGGGUGCGUAGGCGGGUUUUUAAGUCAGUGGUGAAAGUUUGGGGCUCAACCAUAAAAUUGCAAUUGAAACUGGGGGUCUUGAGUAGGUUUGAGGUAGGCGGAAUGCGUGGUGUAGCGGUGAAAUGCUUAGAUAUCACGAAGAACCCCGAUUGCGAAGGCAGCUUACCAAACCAUCACUGACGCUGAUGCACGAAAGCGUGGGGAUCAAACAGGAUUAGAUACCCUAGUAGUC
RNAcentral lists this ribosomal RNA (460 nucleotides) under uncultured bacterium. RNAcentral's name for it is "partial 16S ribosomal RNA". It matches the Rfam family "Bacterial small subunit ribosomal RNA", at positions 338 to 795 of the family's 1533-position model. The record is from RNAcentral.